AUGGCGCCGCCAUGGGCACCAUGGACACCGUGGGCACUGCAUGGGGUGGGGGUACUGGGGCCGUACUGGGGGUCCUGGGGUCAUAGUGGGGGCACUGGGGUCAUACUGGGGGUCCUGGGGUCAUAUUGGGGGCACUGGGGUCAUACUGGGGACAAUAGGGUUGGACUGGGGACAAUGGGGUUGGACUGGGAGCAAUCCCACCAGUACGGGGACACCGCCAAGGGUACUGGGGGCACUGGGAGUAGUGUGGGCACUGCGUGGGGUGGGGGUACUGGGGUCAUACUGGAAGACCUUGGGUCAUACUGGGAGACCUUGGGUCAUACUGGGAGACCUGGGGUCAUACUGGGAGACCUGGGGUCAUAUUGGGGGUCCUGGGGUCAUACUGGGGGCACUGGGGUCAUACUGGGGACAAUGGGGUUGGACUGGGAGCAACCCUACCAGUAUGGUGCUGGUCCUGAGACCCAAAUGCCUUACUGGGACCUGAACACCCUACCAGGACUGGGCCCCCAGUGCCCUACUGGUAAUGGGACCCCAAUAUCCUACUGGGACUGGGCUCCCCAACACCCUACCAGUACUGGGCCCCAGUGCCCUACUGGUCCCGGGACCCAAAUGCCUUACUGGGACCCCAGUGCCCUACCAGUACUGGGCCCCAGUGCCCUACUGGUCCUGGGACCCAAAUGCCUUACUGGGACCCCAACACCUGGCCCCCAGUGCCUUACUGGUAAUGGGACCCCAACACCCUACUGGGACUGGGCCCCCAGUGCCCUACUGGUCCUGAGACCCAAAUGCCUUACUGAGACCCCAGUGCCCUACCAGUACUGGGCCCCAGUGCCCUACUGGUCCCGGGACCCAAAUGCCUUACUGGGACCCCAGUGCCCUACCAGUACUGGGCCCCAGUGCCCUACUGGUCCUGGGACCCAAGUGCCUUACUGGGACCCCAGUGCCCUACUGGACCCGGGACCCAAAUUCCUUACUGGGACCCCAGUGCCCUACCAAAAUUGGGCACCCCAGUGCCCUAACAGCACCAGUCCCCCCAGCACCUUACUGGUCCCAGUACCCCCACGUCACCGGUGCCAACCCCACCACCCCGCUCCUCUUUAG
This 1101-nucleotide long non-coding RNA is filed under the name Anas platyrhynchos platyrhynchos (common mallard). RNAcentral's name for it is "lncRNA (ENSAPLG00000018556.1)". The record is from RNAcentral. Lineage: Eukaryota; Metazoa; Chordata; Aves; Anseriformes; Anatidae.